Molecule: ribosomal RNA, 305 nt
Filed under: uncultured bacterium
Lineage: Bacteria
Description: bacterial SSU rRNA
Rfam family: Bacterial small subunit ribosomal RNA
Source: RNAcentral
UGUGCCUACGGGAGGCAGCAGUGAGGAAUAUUGGUAAAUGGACGAGAGUAUGAACCAGCCAAGUAGCGUGAAGGAUGACUGCCCUAUGGGUUGUAAACUUCUUUUAUAUGGGAAUAAAACGUUCCACGUGUGGGAUUUUGUAUGUACCAUAUGAAUAAGGAUCGGCUAACUCCGUGCCAGCAGCCGCGGUAAUACGGAGGAUCCGAGCGUUAUCCGGAUUUAUUGGGUAUAAAGGGAGCGUAGGUGGAUUGUUAAGUCAGUUGUAAAAGGUUGCGGCUCAACCGUAAUAUUGCAGUAGAAACUGG